GAUGAACGCUGGCGGCGUGCCUAAUACAUGCAAGUCGAGCGAACGGACGAGAAUCUUGCUUCUCUGAUGUUAGCGGCGGACGGGUGAGUAACACGUGGAUACCCUCCCUAUAAGACUGGGAUAACUUCGGGAAACCGGAGCUAAUACCGGAUAAUAUUUUGAACCGCAUGGUUCAAAAGUGAAAGACGGUCUUGCUGUCACUUAUAGAUGGAUCCGCGCUGCAUUAGCUAGUUGGUAAGGUAACGGCUUACCAAGGCAACGAUGCAUAGCCGACCUGAGAGGGUGAUCGGCCACACUGGAACUGAGACACGGUCCAGACUCCUACGGGAGGCAGCAGUAGGGAAUCUUCCGCAAUGGGCGAAAGCCUGACGGAGCAACGCCGCGUGAGUGAUGAAGGGCUUCGGAUCGUAAAACUCUGUUAUUAGGGAAGAACAUAUGUGUAAGUAACUGUGCACAUCUUGACGGUACCUAAUCAGAAAGCCACGGCUAACUACGUG
RNAcentral lists this ribosomal RNA (497 nucleotides) under uncultured bacterium. RNAcentral's name for it is "partial 16S ribosomal RNA". It matches the Rfam family "Bacterial small subunit ribosomal RNA", at positions 28 to 507 of the family's 1533-position model. The record is from RNAcentral.